Long non-coding RNA from Sapajus apella (tufted capuchin), 340 nucleotides. RefSeq lists it as uncharacterized. The record is from RefSeq and is a predicted model, not a curated record. The transcript has 3 exons. Lineage: Eukaryota; Metazoa; Chordata; Mammalia; Primates; Cebidae.
GGGGGUGGGGGGUAUAUACCCAGCUGUGGGAUAGCUGGAUCAUAUGGAAGCUCAAUUUUUAGAUUUUUUAAGAAACCUCCAAAUUGUUCUACAUAGUGGUUGUAGUAACUUACAUUCCCACCAACAUCGUAUGAAGGUUUCUUUUUCUCCACAAACUUGCCAGCAUUUGUUAUUGCCUAUUUUUGGAUGAAAGUUAUUUUAACUGGGGCGAGAUGAUAACUUAUUGUAGUUUUGAUGAAUUUCACUGAUGAAAAAUGUAAUGUUGAGCACCUUGUCAUAUACCUGUUUGCCAUUUGUAUGUCUUCUUUUAGAGAAAUAUUCAUUCAGGUUUUUUGCCAUU